GGUAGCACAGAGAGCUUGCUCUUGGGUGACGAGUGGCGGACGGGUGAGUAAUGUCUGGGGAUCUGCCCGAUAGAGGGGGAUAACCACUGGAAACGGUGGCUAAUACCGCAUAACGUCGCAAGACCAAAGAGGGGGACCUUCGGGCCUCUCACUAUCGGAUGAACCCAGAUGGGAUUAGCUAGUAGGCGGGGUAAUGGCCCACCUAGGCGACGAUCCCUAGCUGGUCUGAGAGGAUGACCAGCCACACUGGAACUGAGACACGGUCCAGACUCCUACGGGAGGCAGCAGUGGGGAAUAUUGCACAAUGGGCGCAAGCCUGAUGCAGCCAUGCCGCGUGUAUGAAGAAGGCCUUCGGGUUGUAAAGUACUUUCAGCGGGGAGGAAGGCGACGGGGUUAAUAACCGCGUCGAUUGACGUUACCCGCAGAAGAAGCACCGGCUAACUCCGUGCCAGCAGCCGCGGUAAUACGGAGGGUGCAAGCGUUAAUCGGAAUUACUGGGCGUAAAGCGCACGCAGGCGGUCUGUUAAGUCAGAUGUGAAAUCCCCGGGCUUAACCUGGGAACUGCAUUUGAAACUGGCAGGCUUUGAGUCUUGUAGAGGGGGGUAGAAUUCCAGGUGUAGCGGUGAAAUGCGUAGAGAUCUGGAGGAAUACCGGUGGCGAAGGCGGCCCCCUG
Molecule: ribosomal RNA, 673 nt
Filed under: Pantoea sp. LS9
Lineage: Bacteria; Pseudomonadati; Pseudomonadota; Gammaproteobacteria; Enterobacterales; Erwiniaceae
Description: bacterial SSU rRNA
Rfam family: Bacterial small subunit ribosomal RNA
Source: RNAcentral